GACGGUAACAGGGUGCUUGCACCGCUGACGAGUGGCGAACGGGUGAGUAAUGCAUCGGAAUGUACCGUGUAAUGGGGGAUAGCUCGGCGAAAGCCGGAUUAAUACCGCAUACGCCCUGAGGGGGAAAGUGGGGGACCGUAAGGCCUCACGUUAUACGAGCAGCCGAUGUCUGAUUAGCUAGUUGGUGGGGUAAAGGCUCACCAAGGCUUCGAUCAGUAGCGGGUCUGAGAGGAUGAUCCGCCACACUGGGACUGAGACACGGCCCAGACUCCUACGGGAGGCAGCAGUGGGAGUGGGA
RNAcentral lists this ribosomal RNA (298 nucleotides) under Chromobacterium sp. Z3. RNAcentral describes it as "partial 16S ribosomal RNA". It matches the Rfam family "Bacterial small subunit ribosomal RNA", at positions 65 to 358 of the family's 1533-position model. Lineage: Bacteria; Pseudomonadati; Pseudomonadota; Betaproteobacteria; Neisseriales; Chromobacteriaceae. The record is from RNAcentral.